UGUGAAGGAUAGACAUAUCCACAAGUGUCCC
RNAcentral lists this non-coding RNA (31 nucleotides) under Rattus norvegicus (Norway rat). Lineage: Eukaryota; Metazoa; Chordata; Mammalia; Rodentia; Muridae. The record is from RNAcentral.